Hipposideros armiger (great roundleaf bat) is the source of this 1223-nucleotide RNA transcript. It is a transcript of the gene named meiotic nuclear divisions 1, with no coding region annotated. The record is from RefSeq and is a predicted model, not a curated record. The transcript has 11 exons. NCBI's taxonomy places the organism in Eukaryota, Metazoa, Chordata, Mammalia, Chiroptera, Hipposideridae.
CCUGCGCAGGCCCUGCCGCCGGAAGACGUUCGCCGGCGCCAUGUCGAAGAAAAAAGGAUUGAGUGCAGAGGAAAAGAGAGCCCGCAUGAUGGAAAUAUUUUUUGAGACGAAAGAUGUAUUUCAGUUAAAAGACAUGGAGAAGAUUGCUCCCAAAGAGAAAGGCAUUACUGCUAUGUCAGUAAAAGAAGUCCUUCAAAGCUUAGUUGAUGAUGGUAUGGUUGACUGUGAGAGGAUUGGAACAUCUAAUUAUUAUUGGGCUUUUCCAAGUAAAGCUCUUCAUGCAAGGAAACGUAAAUUGGAGGUUCUAGAAUCUCAGUUAUCUGAGGGGAACCAAAAGCACGAAAACCUGCAGAAAAGCAUCGAGAAAGCUAAAAUUGGCCGACAUGAAACGGAAGAGCGAACCAUGCUAGCAAAAGAGCUUUCUUCACUUCGAGAUCAAAGGGAACAGCUAAAGGCAGAAGUAGAAAAAUAUAAAGAAUGUGACCCACAAGUUGUGGAAGAAAUACGUCAAGCAAAUAAAGCAGCCAAAGAAGCUGCUAACAGAUGGACUGGUUAAAGAUUGGCUCUCAAAAGUAAAAACCCAAAUGCUUUUUGAGACACCCCUGUAAAAUACACCUUACCAAUCUGGAGGAUGUAUCAGCUGCAGAAAGGGUUUUAAAUUAACAAGAUCAAGCAAAACCACCUAGUAAUGCACAGCACAAUCUUUCACCUCAGAGAAGAAAGGGCCAACAAGGAAAAGAAUCACAGGAUUUGAGACCUAGGAGAGAUCUCCAGGAGGCAACACCAACCCAGCGUCCCCAUCUCGCUGUUAAAGAUCUGGAGACCUAGAGACCUUCACCAAGAGAUUGGAUGUGACAUUAACAAUGGAGGGGACUGGGGCUCUUCAAGUGUUUCAGGUCUGGGUUCAAGACACCUCAUCCAUGUUGAUCCUGGCACUCACACACCUUUCAGGAGGCGCUGUAUCUACCUUCCGCCUUCAUGAACUCCAUGUUCUGACCAAAGAAAAUGCUCUCCUCCACCCUCUCCCAAUUUUAUUGCCUAGAAAUCCCUUCUGCUCUCACUUCAUGUAUGAGUACUGUUUUCUUUUUACAUAUUUUAAAAACCCUUUAUAUAUACAUCAUAGUACUGUAUGGUUUUUCACUGCAUCUGUCAUAGUUAUCUUUGCCAUUUCCAUGUAGUGGAUUUAUUUGGGGGUGUUUCCCGUUUGGAGCUAUUACAAAUAA